Molecule: ribosomal RNA, 490 nt
Filed under: uncultured bacterium
Lineage: Bacteria
Description: partial 16S ribosomal RNA
Rfam family: Bacterial small subunit ribosomal RNA
Source: RNAcentral
AGUGAACGCUGGCGGUAGGCCUAACACAUGCAAGUCGAACGGCAGCACAGGAGAGCUUGCUCUCUGGGUGGCGAGUGGCGGACGGGUGAGGAAUACAUCGGAAUCUGCCCAGUCGUGGGGGAUAACGUAGGGAAACUUACGCUAAUACCGCAUACGACCUUCGGGUGAAAGAGGGGGAUCGCAAGACCUCUCGCGAUUGGAUGAGCCGAUGUCGGAUUAGCUAGUUGGCGGGGUAAUGGCCCACCAAGGCGACGAUCCGUAGCUGGUCUGAGAGGAUGAUCAGCCACAGGGGAAGGUAAACGCGGCCAAGACCCCACGGGGGGGGAGCAGGGGGAAAUAUGGGACAAGGGGCUCAACCCUGAUCCACCAAUCCGGGGGGGGAAAAGAGGGCAUGGGGUUUGAAAAGCCGUUUGGUGGGGAAAAAAUUCUUUCAGGCUAAUACCCUGGGGGGAGGACGGUACCAAAAAAAUAAGCCCCGGCAAAUUUGGGC